This 482-nucleotide ribosomal RNA is filed under the name uncultured bacterium. Its description in RNAcentral is "SSU rRNA". It matches the Rfam family "Bacterial small subunit ribosomal RNA", at positions 26 to 517 of the family's 1533-position model. The record is from RNAcentral.
AGGACGAACGCUGGCGGCGUGCCUAACACAUGCAAGUCGAACGCGCUCCAUUCGGUAGCAAUACUGAUGAAGAGCGAGUGGCGAACGGGUGAGUAGCACGUGAGCAACCUGCCCCGAAGACCGGGACAACACCGGGAAACCGGUGCUAAUACCGGAUAUCCCUAUCGGACCGCAUGAUCUGAUAAGGAAAUGGAUUCCGCUUCGGGAGGGGCUCGCGGCCUAUCAGCUAGUUGGUGAGGUAACGGCCCACCAAGGCAUCGACGGGUAGCUGGUCUGAGAGGACGAUCAGCCACACUGGGACUGAGACACGGCCCAGACUCCUACGGGAGCAGCAGUGGGGAAUCUUGCGCAAUGGGCGAAAGCCUGACGCAGCAACGCCGCGUGGAGGACGAAGGCUUUCUGAGUUGUAAACUCCUUUCAGCAGGGACGAUAGUGACGGUACCUGCAGAAGAAGCACCGGCCAACGUACGCGCCAGCAGCCG